This 301-nucleotide ribosomal RNA is filed under the name uncultured bacterium. RNAcentral describes it as "partial 16S ribosomal RNA". It matches the Rfam family "Bacterial small subunit ribosomal RNA", at positions 509 to 809 of the family's 1533-position model. The record is from RNAcentral.
CAGUCGCCGCGGUAAUACGUAGGGUGCAAGCGUUAAUCGGAAUUACUGGGCGUAAAGCGUGCGCAGGCGGUGUUGUAAGACUGAUGUGAAAUCCCCGGGCUCAACCUGGGAACUGCAUUGGUGACUGCAACGCUGGAGUGCGGCAGAGGGGGAUGGAAUUCCGCGUGUAGCAGUGAAAUGCGUAGAUAUGCGGAGGAACACCGAUGGCGAAGGCAAUCCCCUGGGCCUGUACUGACGCUCAUGCACGAAAGCGUGGGGAGCAAACAGGAUUAGAUACCCGCGUAGUCCCUGUCUCUUAUAA